Molecule: ribosomal RNA, 1815 nt
Filed under: marine metagenome
Description: bacterial LSU rRNA
Rfam family: Bacterial large subunit ribosomal RNA
Source: RNAcentral
AAGCGUAAUAGCUCACUAGUCGAGUCGGCCUGCGCGGAAGAUGUAACGGGGCUAAGCUAUACACCGAAGCUGCGGCAACGCAAUUUAUUGCGUUGGGUAGGGGAGCGUUCUGUAAGCCGUUGAAGGUGAACUGUAAGGUUUGCUGGAGGUAUCAGAAGUGCGAAUGCUGACAUGAGUAACGAUAAUGGGGGUGAAAAACCCCCACGCCGGAAGACCAAGGGUUCCUGUCCAACGUUAAUCGGGGCAGGGUAAGUCGACCCCUAAGGCGAGGCUGAAAAGCGUAGUCGAUGGGAAACGGGUUAAUAUUCCCGUACUUCUUACAAUUGCGAUGGGGGGACGGAGAAGGCUAGGUGGGCCUGGCGACGGUUGUCCAGGUUCAAGUGCGUAGGCUGAAGAGUUAGGUAAAUCCGGCUCUUCGUUAAGGCUGAGACACUAUGUCGAGCACCUAAGGGUGUGAAGUCAUUGAUGCCAUGCUUCCAGGAAAAGCCUCUAAGCUUCAGAUUGUAAGAAAUCGUACCCCAAACCGACACAGGUGGUCGGGUAGAGAAUACCAAGGCGCUUGAGAGAACUCGGGUGAAGGAACUAGGCAAAAUGGUACCGUAACUUCGGGAGAAGGUACGCCGGUUUUGGUGAUGGGACUUGCUCCCUAAGCUGAGGCUGGCCGAAGUGACCAGGUGGCUGCGACUGUUUAUUAAAAACAUAGCACUCUGCAAACACGUAAGUGGACGUAUAGGGUGUGACGCCUGCCCGGUGCCGGAAGGUUAAUUGAUGGGGUUAUCUUCGGAGAAGCUCUUGAUCGAAGCCCCGGUAAACGGCGGCCGUAACUAUAACGGUCCUAAGGUAGCGAAAUUCCUUGUCGGGUAAGUUCCGACCUGCACGAAUGGCGUAACGAUGGCCACACUGUCUCCACCCGAGACUCAGUGAAAUUGAAAUCGCUGUUAAGAUGCAGUGUACCCGCGGCUAGACGGAAAGACCCCGUGAACCUUUACUAUAGCUUUACAUUGGACUUUGAUAACAUCUGUGUAGGAUAGGUGGGAGACUUUGAAGCAGGAUCGCUAGAUCUUGUGGAGUCACCCUUGAAAUACCACCCUGAUGUUGUUGAGGUUCUAACCCAGGUCCCUUAUCGGGAUCGGGAACCGUGUAUGGUGGGUAGUUUGACUGGGGCGGUCUCCUCCCAAAGAGUAACGGAGGAGCGCGAAGGUACACUCAGCAUGGUCGGAAAUCAUGCUAUGAGCGCAAAGGUAGAAGUGUGCUUGACUGCGAGACUGACACGUCGAGCAGGUACGAAAGUAGGUCUUAGUGAUCCGGUGGUUCUGUAUGGAAGGGCCAUCGCUCAACGGAUAAAAGGUACUCCGGGGAUAACAGGCUGAUACCGCCCAAGAGUUCACAUCGACGGCGGUGUUUGGCACCUCGAUGUCGGCUCAUCACAUCCUGGGGCUGAAGCCGGUCCCAAGGGUAUGGCUGUUCGCCAUUUAAAGUGGUACGCGAGCUGGGUUUAGAACGUCGUGAGACAGUUCGGUCCCUAUCUGCCGUGGGCGUUGGAGAAUUGAGGGAAGCUGCUCCUAGUACGAGAGGACCGGAGUGGACGAACCUCUGGUGUUCCGGUUGUCACGCCAGUGGCAUUGCCGGGUAGCUAUGUUCGGAAAGGAUAACCGCUGAAAGCAUAUAAGCGGGAAGCCUCUCCCAAGAUUAAAUCUCCCAGAGACUUUAUGUCUCCUAAAGAGUCGUCAUAGACUAUGACGUUGAUAGGCAAGAUGUGUAAGCGCUGCGAGGCGUUGAGCUAACUUGUACUAAUAACUCGUGAGGCUUGAUCAU